Molecule: long non-coding RNA, 1395 nt
Organism: Oreochromis aureus
Lineage: Eukaryota; Metazoa; Chordata; Actinopteri; Cichliformes; Cichlidae
Source: Ensembl
GGAGCACCAGUCUGAUCACAGGCUGGAGGAAACAUGGUGGAUGAUCACCUGAGCUGUACUCAGCUUCUCAUAAACAAUCAAAUCAGAUACAGAAAACAGGAUUAAUCUUCAUGAAUGAUAACAAGGGAAGUUAUGACAUCAUAACAGAAACACAAACAAGACGUGCAUGAGUAUAAAACAUGCCAGACUGAAGAUGAGAUGCCAACAGCAUCGCAAACAUUAAUGUUUAAAGCUUCCAUGUGGUUUUACAUUUCUUCCAUGGAAACAGGAGGUGCCGCUUUUCAUUUGAAGACUCACAUUUAUGGACGUGGACGUGGAAAAGUAUAAAUCUGGGAGCUUUUUUUGGACAUGAAGUUGGUAAUGUGUCUUUGUGACAGCUGUGUGGAAGCACGAGAGCAACGUUUGUGGGAAAGUCCACAGACUGUACCACUCUGACAUGUUUGAAGGAGGUUUUUCACACUAAAGUCAAAGAAUCGGUCUAAAUAAAACCUCCUUCACCUUGUAAGGAAACAUUUUGUGUACACGAUUUCUUUCCAUUUAACAAAGUUAGUUCAGUGAGAGAUGGCAGGAGGAGCAGAGGUCAGCUCAUGGUGACAGAGGUCAAACAGAUGUGAGGGGGAACAGCACACACAGCACUGGUGUGUUUCAUCUCCACACACAGACAAACCACAGCAACACUGACUCCACUCUCAGCCUCCCAGUGACCAUGAGCUUACCUGUGUCACCGGUGCCACCCUCUGUGGACCCCACUGUGUCAUGUGAUGAUGAUACAGGAUAUUUUCCACACCCAGCUCCACACUGAGUCCUGACUUCAGUGGGUGAAUCCAUCCAGCAGAGACGUGGAGACACAAAGACUGAGAGCUGCUGGACAGUUUCAGGUGUUACAUAUCAGUUCAGGGCAGGAGAAACGCAGGUACAUGGUUGUGCACUAGAACCUGAUGUAGAAGUUACAGCAUGCAAGCACAUGAUGAUGGGGCAGGGGAGCAGCUCUUUACUGACAUCUAGUGGUUCUACGUCUUUUUCCUGCUUAAUAAAGUUCAGCUUUCUUCUUCUGCAGAUCCUUUGACAAGUCUUUUGCUGCCCCCAUGACUCGGGACCGAACAACGUCGGUGCAGCACUGGACCUGCAGCGUCAGUCUGAAGGCCUGAAACUCCUCCCACGCUGAUCACAGACAUCAGCAGGAUCGAGGACGACCCCCCCCCCCAAGUCUGAGGACGUUCCCCGCCACAUGAAUGGGGGACAGGAGGCGCAGCUUCCAGCCCAGCUGGUGGGAAAGUCCUCCGUGGGUGGACUUCUCUGUAACUAUGGACUCUGCCUGUUGUCAUGCGUGCAGACGUUUCAGUCCAUAGACAUUUCAGCCAGUGCUUUUUAAACAUUAACUGUGCACAUGUGCGG